UAAAGCGUGCGCAGGCGGUUUGUAAGACUGUCGUGAAAUCCCCGGGCUCAACCUGGGAAUGGCGAUGGUGACUGCAAGGCUAGAGUUUGGCAGAGGGGGUAGAAUUCCACGUGUAGCAGUGAAAUGCGUAGAUAUGUGGAGGAACACCGAUGGCGAAGGCAGCCCCCUGGGUCAAAACUUGACGCUCAUGCACGAAAGCGUGGGGAGCAAACAGGAUUAGAUACCCUGGU
Molecule: ribosomal RNA, 230 nt
Filed under: uncultured bacterium
Lineage: Bacteria
Description: partial 16S ribosomal RNA
Rfam family: Bacterial small subunit ribosomal RNA
Source: RNAcentral